This 253-nucleotide ribosomal RNA is filed under the name uncultured bacterium. RNAcentral's name for it is "partial 16S ribosomal RNA". It matches the Rfam family "Bacterial small subunit ribosomal RNA", at positions 524 to 776 of the family's 1533-position model. The record is from RNAcentral.
UACGUAGGGUGCGAGCGUUGUCCGGAAUCAUUGGGCGUAAAGCGCGUGUAGGCGGCCAUGUAAGUCCGUUCUGAAAGCCCGGGGCUCAACCCCGGGAGGCGGAUGGAUACUGCAUGGCUCGAGUACGGAAGAGGCGAGUGGAAUUCCCGGUGUAGCGGUGAAAUGCGCAGAUAUCGGGAGGAACACCAAUGGCGAAGGCAGCCCGCUGGGACGUUACUGACGCUGAGACGCGAAAGCGUGGGGAGCAAACAGG